AAAUGAAUAGACGGGGACCCGCACAAGCGGUGGAGCAUGUGGUUUAAUUCGACGAUAAGCGGGGAACCUUACCAGGUCUUGACAUGCAGCUGCACAUCCCAUGAAAGUGGGACUUCUUCGAGAGUGCUGCACAGGUGCUGCACGGUUGUCGUCAGCUCGUGCCGUGAGGUGUUCGCUUAAGUGCGAAAACGAGCGCAACCCCUAUCGUUUGUUAUUUAUGUCAAACGAGACUGCCGGCGUUUAAGCCGGAGGAAGGCGGGGAUGACGUCAAAUCAGCGUGGCUCUUACGACCUGGGCCACACACGUGCUACAAUGGGUAGGUACAGAGGGACGCCAAAGCGUAAGCUGGAGCAAAUCCCACCAAAACUACCCUCAGUUCGGAUUGAGGGCUGCAACUCGCCCUCAUGAAGCUGGAAUCGCUAGUAACCGUGAAUCAGCCUCGUCACGGUGAAUACGUUCUCGGGUUUUGUACACACCGCCCGU
Molecule: ribosomal RNA, 483 nt
Filed under: uncultured bacterium
Lineage: Bacteria
Description: bacterial SSU rRNA
Rfam family: Bacterial small subunit ribosomal RNA
Source: RNAcentral